RNAcentral lists this long non-coding RNA (10323 nucleotides) under Sorghum bicolor (sorghum). RNAcentral describes it as "long non-coding RNA (SBIC_LNC014401)". The record is from RNAcentral. Lineage: Eukaryota; Viridiplantae; Streptophyta; Magnoliopsida; Poales; Poaceae.
CUUGUUCUUAGUACUACCUCCAUGAUCCCACACUCCUAAUCAUAUGAGCUAAAAUAGUACACAUUCAAUCAUUGAGAGAUAUAAAGAAAAAGACAUAUACAUAGAUAGAUUAUCUUUCCAUAAGGUUGAGCGAUCUGAUCCGACAAAUGUUAUAAGUGCUACACUCAUGAACUUUUCAUCUAUCAACUUUGUCUUGCUCACUAUGCUUAGGGUUAGAGAAGAAUAAAUACACUUUAGGUUCUGUUGGUGUUUUCCACCAACAGGACCCAUGCACUUGAUCUCUGCCUUGUCUCUAUGAGCAGGUACACUUCGAGCAAAACACGGAGGAGUUUUAUAACUCUCAGACUCUACCAAGUGAAGGACCUGGAUCUACAAGCACAAACACACUGAGCAGGAUACUGCCAACGCCGCACUUCGAACUGCUGGGCAAACGAAGAACGUGGGUGACACCGUAUCAAGAGGUGCAGACGUCAAGGUCCGCACCUAAAUCAAAUGACGCACCUGAAGAAUGAACACAGUGAAAAGUCUUGUCAAGAAGACUUAAAACAUUGAACCCUCGCCGAAAGGUAAGAUCGGUAGUUAUCCAUAUUUAUCCCUUCUGAAUUCUCUUUUCCCUUUAAUUAUUUACUUUCCUUAAAUAGAUUAUUAGUUAAUCAUGCUAUCUUGAAACGAAAAUAAAAAUGUUAAAAAAUACUAAGCCCCAUGUGAGUAUACGAGUGGCAUAAAACCCAUAAGUACCUUCACUAUGGUGGCAUAAAAAUAAAAUAAAUAUUUCUUUUCUGCUUUAUAAAAUAAAAAUAUAAAAACAGGGAGUAAUAUUUAUUGAGGAAGCUCAACAUGAUGAAAGCUAGAUAUUUAUGCUAACACUUAAUUAGUUCCACAAGCUUUGUUCUCUAUUUGAGCUCCACAGAAUUUAAGAAUCAAGAAGACUAGCAGACGGAGGACAUUCUAAUCGCUGUCAGAAUGUUGCUGACUUUCAAAUACACCUCUGCCACCUGCUAGCUACAUCAAGAGAAAUUACGUCAAAAUUCAGCUUGGGGGAGAGCACCCCCAUUUAUCUCGCUAAGUAUUUCUACCUAUCUUUAUACUUAUAUUAUAUUAGAAUAUUAAAAUACAUAAACUAUGAAAAACCAAAUAAAGAUUUUGUGCUUAUAUAUAUAUAUAUCUUUUGCUUAGCGUGUUUAAUAAAUAAAUAAAGUGGCUAUGCUAAUCUGAAUCUUAAUAAUAAAACUCUAGCAUGGAUAUGAUGAAUAGUUGCUCUGCCAUGACUAGUUCUCAAAAAUUGAAUUCUAUCUCAAGUUUACGCAUGACUGUUAUGAAUUAAGAUUUGCUCUAAACCUGAACUUGUGGGAAGAGUACUUGAUCUAAAGUCUAAGUCGUUAACGGAUAUGAUAUGGGAAGGUUGAGUUGCUAUUUAUCUGUUCCUAGAGAUGCUAGAAAUCUGGAGAAUUUUAUCUUUGAAAAUCAUUAAAAUAUUGCAUGAUGAGUUCCUGUAUGAUGGGAGUUUAAAAUCCUACCACAGCCAUAUAUAUAUGCUUAUUAGACUAUGAACCAUACAUUUACUUUUUACUGCUUAUGAGCAUUGAGUGUGGUCAAGCUGUUUAGACCCUUAGGAGCUUGUCAUAUGGUUAAAUCAAGAUCCACUUGCACGUUCACUCAUACAUGCUGCUACUACUCUGGAAGUACGCAUCCACAUACAUCCACUCAUUUCCAUCUCCAGAUUCACCCAAAAAUAUUCUACUCCUAAUCCGGGAGAGAAUAGCCAAAAAUAUUUCUGUUUUCCCUUGUGAAAUAAAUGCUCAAGUUAUCUUGCUACUACCACUUGCUAUAUUAUCUCAAGAGAUGAGUGCUCUGAAAAGAAAAAAAAGAGAGAAAAGAGAAGGAAAAAAAUAAAAAAAAUAAUAAAAAAACGAGGAAAUAAAAAGAGGCAAGUGCCUGGAACCUCGAAAGAAAGAAAAAGUGAGACGAGAGGUAAAAAUGGACAAGUGUCCGACAGUAGAAUUAGGGGUACAAGAUACCCACCUGAGAGGAAAGAAAAAGAAAAGCAUCUCAUUCUCCUCAUAAAGUUUCAAAAAGCAAGGAAGGUAUGUAUCCCCUCAAAAGAGCAAAAGUAGAAUUAGACUUUCACCAUUGUUAUCACCAUCAUCACCAUACACCAUUCAUUCGCCACACAUGAACAUCUUGAUUUGGCUUAUUGAUUUGUUUCUUUGGAUCCAUGGUUUGACUAUACAAUAAAUGUCUUGUAAGUAUGUAUACUUUAUCUCCCACCUAUGAGCUCCAGAUAUUAAAGCCUUAUUAGAGUAGGGUGAGAGGGAAGGCAAUGUCACUAUGCCUUAUACCACAAAUACCACAUAUCUUGAGAGAAGGCAUAUACCAUCACUGCCUUGGUAAGGAUCCAGAAAUACCACAAAAGAGAGAUUUAGAGAGUCAUACAAGGAAUCUCUGAGUUUUAUUUGAAAAUCUGCAAAAACUCCAGAGCUAUAGCUGAUCAAGAAUAAGAGACAUGGCACUUGGCUAGACUGUUCUAUCUUUUAACUACUCAAGACAGAAGUGACGGUUACAAGUCCCAUGGUGAAAGGUAAAGUAAGUAAGUUUUAGUUCUUGACAGUUUACUCUAACUCAGAGAUGAGAUCUUAUUUAAAAGCAAUUUGUACCGUCAAAUUUUUAAGAUAUUGUAACAAGUUCUAAUCCAUUGCUGAGUCUAUCCUUGCUCAGGGACGAGCAAGAGGUAAGCUUGGGGGAGUUUGUUGACGGUCCUUAAGUACCAAAUAUAAUCAUCAAAUAAACAAAGAAAAUGAUCCAAAUGAAAUCAACAUCUAGACUUAGGGUUUUAUCUGACAGAAUUCCACAAGUUUUGGUGUUUGUCUAUUUCUGCAAGGGGUUAUCAGGAAAUAUGGAAGAAAGGCCCACACAUCGGGAUUACAUAGAGAUAUCAAUGUGCCGCGCAAUUAUCUUACAUCUAGAAGACUCCAGAUGCCACGGGAAGGAAGCGGAGGCCGAACGUGGCCAGAGGCAGGGCGCCCGCCCUCCUGCCGAGCCCAAUCAGGAUUCUCUUUCGGGACGAUGUUCCACCGACCUAAAGGAUCAAGAAUUCCCGUUCAAUCAAUGUCGGUUUGAUCCGACGGCCUAGGUUCACUUGAGGGGACUAUAUAACCAGACCCCCUGGCCCCUGGAAGAGGCACCCCUUGAUCAUUAUUCAUUAUUCAUAGACAGAGCAAAAGCUAGGGUUUAGAGAUGAGAGCUCUCCUCUCUUCUCUAAACUAGAGUAGAUCUAGAUAGUAGCAAGAUGGAGAGCGAGGGUGGAUUGGAGGAGAGGCCGGACUGUCGGUUCUUCCUCUGGUUGUACUUCAUCAUGAUCAAGCUCUAAUCAAGCUUGCUCAUGGGAUGACUCUAGUAAUCUACUUCUAAUUCAUUAUGCAAUUACUAAUUAUGUAUGUUCUGGUUCACAACUCUUUUAAGUAUUCUAAUCUAUAGGACGCUAUAGGUGAGAGUUGUAGUAUAGGUGUAAGCGAGGUGCUUAGAUCUAGAUUACUUGUGGAUAUCCCCUGUCUAGCUGGAUCGUGUGGUAGGCCGCGUAGGUGACAGUUACGUUGGUCCUCUGUAGUCCACCUCUCGUUAGAAGGACGGGUAGGGUUUAUCGGCCUAAGGAUAAGCAUCCUUUGUGGUGUACUCUUAUCACAUGGUUCGUCCCAGACAUAGACAUACCCCUUUGAAGUAGAGAAACCAUAGUUAUUAUCUCUAUUCUGCUACUAUCGCCCAUAUACUAGAAUUGCUCUAUUCUCUAUUCCCAUAUUAUCACUCACUGUUAUCUUACCUUUAAUAUUGUUCUUAUUCGAUUCUACCAUCUUUCCUAUUUACACUUAUUUACUUAUCUUGGUCAAGUUAGAGCGUAGAUUAGUUCUCCCGUUUCCCUAUGGAUACGAUAAAACCUUUAACCGGGUAAAAGCUAUAACGGUAUCCAUGCGCUUGCGGAUUAUCUGUGUGCGUAUAAAUACCAUAGUACACUCUAGUGCCAUGCUGGGGAUGACAACCUAGUAUUCAAGUGGUGUUAGCAAGUGUCAACAGCCACCACAUCAAUUAGACAUCUAGAUUAGCAUAGCUACAUAGGAUUAGAACUAGAAGGAGUCAAUCUUCGAUUGGUUUCCGGAUCUGUCAAGAGGAUUCUUGGUAAUUAUCUAAUUGUUCUUCUAAUUGUUCUUCUAAUCAUCUUUGUUCUUCAAUGUUAUGAAUAUGACUUUGUUCUACUUCAAUAUAUUGCUUAUGACUUUGCUCUACUUAUUUAUAAUCAAGAUUAUAUUGUUCUUAGUUUAUCAUAGUUAUGUACUUGGCUUAGUUAGAUUGGAUCUAUAUACAUGUUUAGCAUCGUAUAGCGUUUAUCCAUCGGAUCCAUGGGUAAAUGAUAGAUAUUGUGUAGGCAUGGUGCUUAUACCGUAUUUAUCUGCGAUUCUACCCAAUAUGCCAGAUCGUGGGGUAGUUCGUGAUAGUGACAGCUUCAUUGAUUCUUAUAUAGUCCCCCUCUCGUGUAUUGGGCUGGCAGAGCAACAUUAUUAUAGGGGAGUGAUUGCUAUGUUUCUCAUUUACCUUGCUAAUAUCACUAUGCAUGGGCGUAGUCUUGUCUCGCAAUGAUUGCUAAGUAUGCUUGCACUAACUAUGAUAAUGCUAAACUAUAUAGUUGAGAAUAACUUAGGAAAUAUUCUUGUAGUUCGUUCUAAUACCAUGCUAAUGACUUUCUAGAGUAUCUAAUUGAGGUGCUUAUCAUAUUUAUAUGUGGCUGAUCAGAUUAAUUAUCUUUGUCACUAUUCAUUACUUCAUAUAUCUUUUAUGUGACACUUAUCACUGUAUGAAAGAGUUAGAUAAAUGUUCUCAAUUAUAUAUGCAAUGAUAGAUACUCAAUCUCAUAUUCUAUUCUGUAAUCAAUAUUGAUGAUUGUUAAUCCCUUCCCAGUGGUAAAAAUAUAAAUAACGAUACCUGGAAUACUUCCCGGUUAAAAUGCUACAUCGGUAUUAAUCUGUGCGCUUGCAGAUCCCAUUCCUUAUCUAUUAUUUAUUUAGAAGAGCAAUUGCAUAUUUCAAUACCGCGUCUCUCAUGUCAUGCUGGGGAUGACAACUUGGCUUAAGUGGUAUGAGGGAUAGGUUUGGCAUUUUUGGCACCGUUACUAGAAUUAGAAAGCUGUCUACUUUUGGUAAUAAUGUUAAGAAUACCCAACAAGCAUUUUUUGGCGCCGUUGCUGGGGAAGGUUGAUUACUAAUCAAGAAUGGAUAUAGAUUUUGAGUUAUCAUUUGCAUCACUAAUAUGAUUGAGCUUAUUAAUUCUCUCAUACAGUUUUACCCUGAUAUUUUCCUAUUUUAUCUUAUGCAGGGGAAUGUAUGAAUAGAAGACAUCUUCCAGGAAAUUUUGUUGACAAUCCCGAAGCGUUAUUCAAGAAGACAAGAGCCAAGCUCAAGAAGAGAUCAUCAACACUUCAACAAGAAGCUUGAUCCAAUCAAGAAGAUCACCGGAACUUGUCUUCAGAGUUCGAAGCCAUGGCGAACAAAUCAAUCCACGAGUUCUCAGCUCCCACUACGGACAACAUCCGCACUGGACCUGCUGCAGAGAUCGACGGAAACUUUGAGCUAAAGCCUAGACUUAUCAACAUGGUGCAAUCCAACCAGUUCUGUGGGAAGGCACAUGAAGAUGCUAGUGCUCAUCUCCAACACUUCCUGGAGAUUUGCAGUACAUUUACCAUAUCAGGAGUUUCCAGAGAUGCUAUACUGCUUCGCCUCUUCCCAUUCUCACUGUUAGGAAGAGCGAAGCAGUGGUUCUACGCUACAAAGGAGAAGAAUACUACGCGGGCACUCUGCUCAACAAACUUCUUGGCUAAGUUCUUUCCCGUGGGCAAGACCAAUGCUCUCCGUGGGAAGAUUACAAGUUUUUAGUAACAAAAUGAUGAAUCCGUUCUAGAAGCAUGGGAGCGCUUUCAAGACAACAUCCUAGAAUGUCCCCAUCAUGGAAUGGAGAGUUGGCUACUAAUGCAGACAUUUUAUCAUGGGCUCGGCAAUAGUGCCCGAGAAACCAUGGAUGCUGCAGCUAGAGGAGCAUUUUUAUCACUUACUAUACCACAAGCCACAACUCUUGUGGAGAAGAUGGCGUCCAACCAAGGCUGGAAUGAUGAGAGGACCCAGACACGCAAGAGAGGUGGAGGUAUGCAUCAGCUCAAGGAGGUAGACAUGCUGUCUGCAAAGCUAGACCUACUCAUGAAGAAGCUCGAUGAUAGAGCUGGAGAUAAGAAAGAAGUUAUGCACAUCUACGACUCUCACAUGACUUGUGAGGAGUGUGGAGAUACUGGACACUCAGGCAAUCACUGCCCUGAGAUGCUUGAGGAUGUGAACUACAUCAACAGUAACAACAAUAACUACUACAACCGUCCUCAACAAAAUCAAGGUUGGAAUCAACAGAGGCCUAACUACUCAGGUAAUUAUCAAGGUAACAAUUCUUACAACAAUAAUAAUAAUUUUCCACCUCCGAGAGAGUUAGUGUCUAAUCAAGGAAAGCUAAUGGAUAACCUAUCUAAGAAAUUGGCAUCUAAUGAUAUAAUGCUAGAAAAUAUAAAUAAUAGAAUGGAUAAUUUCUCUACUGCCAUCAAGAAUCAAAUUAGCUUUAAUAAAAUGAUUGAAUCUCAGUUAAAUCAAAUAGCUGCUACAGUUCCUACUACUAACCCCGGUAUACCAUCACAACCGGAAGGAUUAGAAUCUACAAAUCUUGUAGACAUGUUUGAUGCAGGUAAUAACUAGAGUAACCCCGUCACUGAAUUCUACACUGACCUUCUACUGGUCAAGAGAGGCGAUCCAGGACGCCCCGUCAUCCCGAUCUCCAUCGGCAUGGUGGACAUCCCAGAAGCACUCUGCGACUUUGGCUCUAGCGUCAACAUUAUGCCCAGGGUACUCUAUGAAAAAUUCUUUACAUAUCCUUUAUUAGAGACAACCAUGUGUUUGCAGUUUGCAGAUCAGGCAUUAAGUUUUCCAAAAGGAAUAUUGAAGAACCUUUGUGUCCGAGUUGGUACCUUGUAUGCCCUAGCAGACUUCGUGGUGAUAGAGACCGGUAAUGAUGAGAGAGCACCCAUCAUCUUAGGGAGGCCAUUCUUAAACACCUCGGGAGCUGUCAUCUAGACGUGAAUCAAGGAAGAGGACCAACAGGAGGAACAGGAACAAGCAAGUGUGGACCGAGUCAGCUAAGAUGAUCACUGCAGUUCAUGGAGGCCAAGAUCAUCAACUUAAGUCACCAUUUUUGACCAAGAAGGACGACCCAGGAAUGCCAAGCAUCUACUGCUCCAUAAAUGGAUACAGCUUCUACAAGACGACUUGUGACACCGGAUCGGGCGUCAACAUAAUGGCCGCAGUCACCUAUCGGCUCUUGUUCGGAACCAUGCCCCUAAGACCAACAUACAUUCAGCUCCAGAUGGCAGAUCAGACAUUUCGAGAAGUUAAAGGAACAGUAACUGAUGUCCCAAUCAAAAUAGACGAUCAUUUUGUCUACACAGACUUUCAGGUUAUUGACAUGAGAGAAGAUGAAUACGAUCCACCCAUCAUCCUUGGAAGACCGUUCCUCAGCACCGUUAAAGCAAUCAUCUACAUUGGAACUGGAGAAGUCCAUAUGCACUUCGCCUCAGUGAAGGUACGCCAUUAUUUUACUGACCCUAACUAUAUCGUUGAAGAAUCUAAGCAGGUAAGAAAACGACGCAACCGCAACCAGAGGAGGCAGAUCAUCAAGGACGGAUGGGCAGACUAUGAAGGAGAAGUGGUAAGGUCAGAAGACGUAGAGUUUAAACAGAAUUAUCCAGAGAAGACCGUAGCAUCGAGUCAGGUAUGGAAAGAGAAGAUAACUAUACAUGAAGAAGAGGCGCUACCGGAAGUACCGACAACGCCACCCAACGAAUCCCAGGACAAUUGAAGAAAGAGGAGAAUCCCGUUCGGAGGACUUAAAAACACCGAACGUCUUGCCAAGAGGUAAACUUGGUAGUUAUCCUUUCCCUUUCAAUUAUUUUAAACAGUUUGCUUAGUUAAUCAUGUUCAUGCUAUCCUAAAAAGAAAAUAAAAAUGUGAAAAAUAGUAAGCCCCAUGUGAGUAUACAUGUGGCAUAAAACCCAUAAGUACAUUCACUAUGGUGGCAUAAAAAUAAAAUAAAUAUUUUCUGCUCUAUAAAACGAAAAUAUAAAAACAGGAAGUAAUAUUUAUUAAGGAGGCUCAACAUGAUAAAGGCUAGAUAUUUAUGCUAACACUUAAUCCGUUCCACAAGCUUUGUUGUCUAUUUGAGCUCCACAGAAUUUAAGAAUCAAGAAGACUAGCAGACGGAGGACAUUCUAAUCGCUGUCAGAAUGCUGCUGACUUUCAAAUACACCUCUGCCACCUGCUAGCUACAUCAAGAGAAAUUACGUCAAAAUUCAGCUUGGGGGAGAGCACCCCCAUUUAUCCCGCUAAGUAUCUCUAUCUAUCUUUCUUUAUACUUAUACUAUAUUAAAAUAUAGAUAUACAUAAUUAUGGAAAAACAAAUAAAGAUUUUAUGUUUAUAUAUAUCUCUUUUGCUUAGUGUGUUUAAUAAAUAAAUAAAGUGGCUAUGCUAAUCUGUAUCUAAAUAAAACUCUAGCAUGGAUAUGAUGAAUAGUUGCUCUGCCUAAUUUGCAAUUUUAAGUUCUCUCACUAGUUUAGAUAUAACUGUUAUAAUUUAAAGCUUGCUCUAAACCUAAAUUUGUGGGAUGAAAACUUGAUCUGAAGUCUAAGUUGUUAACGAAUAUGAUAUGGGAAGGUUGAGCUGCUGUUUAUCUAUUCCUAGAGAUGCUAGAAUUCUGGAGAAUUUUAUCUUUGAAAAUCUUUAAAAUAUUACAUGAUGAGUUCCUGUAUGAUGAGAGUUUAAAUUCCUACUACAGCCAUAUAUACAUGCUUGCUAGACUUUGAGCCACACAUUUAUUUUACUGCUUAUGAGCAUUGAGUGUGGUAAAGCUGUGUAGACCCUUAGGAGCUUGUCAUGUGGUUAAAUCAAGAUUUCACUUGCACGUACACUCAUAUAUGCUACUUCUACUCCGGAAGUACCAUCCGCAUAUAUCCACCCAUUUCCAUCUCCAGAAUCACCCAAAAAUAUUCUACUCCUAAUCCGGGAGAGAAUAGCCAAAUUUUUUUUUGUUUUUCCCUUAUAAAAUAAAUGCUCCAGUUAUCUUGUUACUACCACUUGCUAUAUUAUCUCAAGAGAUGAGUGCUCUAAAAAAAGAGAGAAAAAAAGAAAUAAAAAAAUACGAGGAAAUAAAAAGGGACAAGUGCCCGGAACCUCGAAAGAAAAGAAAAAGUGAGACGAGAGGUAAAAAUGGACAAGUGUCCGACAGUAGAAUUAGGGGUACAAGAUACCCACCUGAGAGAAAAGAAAAAGAUAGAGCAUCUCAUUCUCCUCACUAUUCAAAAAGCAAGGAAGGUAUGUAUCCCCUCAAAUGAGCAAAAGUAGAAUUAGACUUUCACCAUUGUUAUCACCAUCAUCACCAUACACCAUUCAUUCGCCACACAUGCACAUCUUGGUUUGACUUAAUGAUUUGUUUCUUUGGAUCCAUGGUUUGACUAUGCAAUAAAUGUUUUGUAAGUAUGUAUAUUUUAUCUCCCACCUAUGAACUCCAGAUAUUAAAGCCUUAUUAGAGUAGGGUGAGAGAGAAGGCAAUGUCACUAUGCCUUAUACCACAAAUACCACAUAUAUUAAGAGAAGGCAUAUGCCAACACUGCCUUGGUAAUGAUCCAGAAAUACCACAAAAGAGAGAUUUGAGAGAGUCAUACAAGGAAUCUCAGAGUUUUAUUUGAAAAUCUGCAAAAAAACUCUAGAGCUAUAGCUGAUCAAGAAUAAGAGACAUGGCACUUGACUAGACUGUUCUAUCUUUUAACUACUCAAGAUAGAAGUGACGGUUACAAGUCCCAUGGUGAAAGGUAAAGUAAGUAAGUUUUAAGUCUUGACAGUUUACUCUAACUCAGAGAUGAUAUCUUAUUUAAAAAGCAUGUGUACCGUCCAAUUUUUAAAAGUAUUGCAGCAACUUCUAAUCUAUCCUUGCUUAGGGACGAGCAAGAGGUAAGCUUGGGGGAGUUUGUUGACGGUCCUUAAGUAUCAUAUUUAAGAAUCAAAUAAACAAAGAAAAGGAUCCAAAUGAAAUCAACAUCUAGACUUAGGGUUUUAUCUGACAGAAUUCCAUGAGUUUUGGUGUUUGUCUAUUUCUACAGGGGGUUAUCGGGAAAUACGGAAGAAAGGCCCACACAUCGGGAUUACAUAGAGAUAUUAACAUGCCGCACAAUUAUCUUACAUCUCGAAGACUCCAGAAGCCAC